AGAACGAACGCUGGCGGCAUGCCUAACACAUGCAAGUCGAACGAGACCUUCGGGUCUAGUGGCGCACGGGUGCGUAACGCGUGGGAAUCUGCCCUUCGGUUCGGAAUAACUCAGGGAAACUUGAGCUAAUACCGGAUAAUGACUUCGGUCCAAAGAUUUAUCGCCGAGGGAUGAGCCCGCGUAGGAUUAGCUUGUUGGUGAGGUAAAAGCUCACCAAGGCGACGAUCCUUAGCUGGUCUGAGAGGAUGAUCGAGCCACACGUGGACUGACGACACCGGACCCAGACCUCCGUACGGGAGGCAGCAGGUGGGAAUGUAGGACAGUGGGACGAAACGCUAGACU
Molecule: ribosomal RNA, 342 nt
Filed under: uncultured soil bacterium
Lineage: Bacteria
Description: bacterial SSU rRNA
Rfam family: Bacterial small subunit ribosomal RNA
Source: RNAcentral